GAUGAACGCUGGCGGCGUGCCUAAUACAUGCAAGUCGAGCGAACAGACGAGGGGCUUGCUCCUUUGACGUUAGCGGCGGACGGGUGAGUAACACGUGGAUAACCUACCUAUAAGACUGGGAUAACUUCGGGAAACCGGAGCUAAUACCGGAUAAUAUAUUGAACCGCAUGGUUCAAUAGUGAAAGACGGUUUUGCUGUCACUUAUAGAUGGAUCCGCGCCGCAUUAGCUAGUUGGUAAGGUAACGGCUUACCAAGGCGACGAUGCGUAGCCGACCUGAGAGGGUGAUCGGCCACACUGGAACUGAGACACGGUCCAGACUCCUACGGGAGGCAGCAGUAGGGAAUCUUCCGCAAAGGGCGAAAGCCUGACGGAGCAACGCCGCGUGAGUGAUGAAGGUCUUCGGAUCGUAAAACUCUGUUAUUAGGGAAGAAAAAAUGUGUAAGUAAAUAUGCACGUCUUGACGGUACCUAAUCAGAAAGCCACGGCUAACUACGUG
Molecule: ribosomal RNA, 497 nt
Filed under: uncultured bacterium
Lineage: Bacteria
Description: partial 16S ribosomal RNA
Rfam family: Bacterial small subunit ribosomal RNA
Source: RNAcentral